This 313-nucleotide unclassified non-coding RNA is filed under the name Frankliniella minuta. RNAcentral's name for it is "partial contains large subunit ribosomal RNA (rrnL); may also contain tRNA-Leu (trnL)". The stretch from base 1 to 197 matches the Rfam family "Bacterial large subunit ribosomal RNA", at positions 2446 to 2642 of the family's 2925-position model. The record is from RNAcentral. Lineage: Eukaryota; Metazoa; Arthropoda; Insecta; Thysanoptera; Thripidae.
AUUUAAUUAAAAAAAAAUUACCUUAGGGAUAACAGAGUAAAAAUUUUUUAGAGAUCAAAUCAAAAAAAUAAUUUACUACCUCGAUGUUGAAUUAAGAAAAUUUUUAAUAGAAGAAAAUUAAAAUAAUAGGUCUGUUCGACCUUUAAAUUCUUACAUGAUUUGAGUUAAGACCGGUGAAAGCCAGGUUGGUUUCUAUCUUUAAAAUAAAUAAAUUUUUUAGUACGAAAGGACCAAAAAUUAAAAAAUAUUUUAAUUAAUUAGCUUUUAGCAUAUAUUUUGAAAAUAUAAGAAAGAUUUUUAUGAAUCUAUUAAU